RNAcentral lists this ribosomal RNA (817 nucleotides) under Vibrio cholerae. RNAcentral's name for it is "partial 23S ribosomal RNA". It matches the Rfam family "Bacterial large subunit ribosomal RNA", at positions 2136 to 2925 of the family's 2925-position model. The record is from RNAcentral. Lineage: Bacteria; Pseudomonadati; Pseudomonadota; Gammaproteobacteria; Vibrionales; Vibrionaceae.
GUGUAGGAUAGGUGGGAGGCUAUGAAGACGUGACGCCAGUUGCGUUGGAGCCGUCCUUGAAAUACCACCCUUGUAUGUUUGAUGUUCUAACUUAGACCCAUUAUCUGGGUUGAGGACAGUGCCUGGUGGGUAGUUUGACUGGGGCGGUCUCCUCCCAAAGAGUAACGGAGGAGCACGAAGGUGGGCUAAUCACGGUUGGACAUCGUGAGGUUAGUGCAAUGGCAUAAGCCCGCUUAACUGCGAGAAUGACGGUUCGAGCAGGUGCGAAAGCAGGUCAUAGUGAUCCGGUGGUUCUGUAUGGAAGGGCCAUCGCUCAACGGAUAAAAGGUACUCCGGGGAUAACAGGCUGAUACCGCCCAAGAGUUCAUAUCGACGGCGGUGUUUGGCACCUCGAUGUCGGCUCAUCACAUCCUGGGGCUGAAGUCGGUCCCAAGGGUAUGGCUGUUCGCCAUUUAAAGUGGUACGCGAGCUGGGUUUAGAACGUCGUGAGACAGUUCGGUCCCUAUCUGCCGUGGGCGUUGGAAGAUUGAAGGGGGCUGCUCCUAGUACGAGAGGACCGGAGUGGACGAACCUCUGGUGUUCGGGUUGUGUCGCCAGACGCAUUGCCCGGUAGCUAAGUUCGGAAUUGAUAAGCGCUGAAAGCAUCUAAGCGCGAAGCGAGCCCUGAGAUGAGUCUUCCCUGACAGUUUAACUGUCCUAAAGGGUUGUUCGAGACUAGAACGUUGAUAGGCAGGGUGUGUAAGCGUUGUGAGGCGUUGAGCUAACCUGUACUAAUUGCCCGUGAGGCUUAACCAUACAACACCCAAGGGGUUUUGUA